GACGAACGCUGGUGGCGUGCCUAAUACAUGCAAGUAGAACGCUGAAGGAGGAGCUUGCUCUUCUGGAUGAGUUGCGAACGGGUGAGUAACGCGUAGGUAACCUGCCUGGUAGCGGGGGAUAACUAUUGGAAACGAUAGCUAAUACCGCAUAACAGUAGAUGUUGCAUGACAUUUACUUAAAAGGUGCAAUUGCAUCACUACCAGAUGGACCUGCGUUGUAUUAGCUAGUUGGUGGGGUAACGGCUCACCAAGGCGACGAUACAUAGCCGACCUGAGAGGGUGAUCGGCCACACUGGGACUGAGACACGGCCCAGACUCCUACGGGAGGCAGCAGUAGGGAAUCUUCGGCAAUGGACGGAAGUCUGACCGAGCAACGCCGCGUGAGUGAAGAAGGUUUUCGGAUCGUAAAGCUCUGUUGUAAGAGAAGAACGAGUGUGAGAGUGGAAAGUUCACACUGUGACGGUAUCUUACCAGAAAGGGACGGCUAACUACGU
RNAcentral lists this ribosomal RNA (494 nucleotides) under uncultured bacterium. Its description in RNAcentral is "partial 16S ribosomal RNA". It matches the Rfam family "Bacterial small subunit ribosomal RNA", at positions 28 to 506 of the family's 1533-position model. The record is from RNAcentral.